This 484-nucleotide ribosomal RNA is filed under the name uncultured bacterium. Its description in RNAcentral is "partial 16S ribosomal RNA". It matches the Rfam family "Bacterial small subunit ribosomal RNA", at positions 28 to 523 of the family's 1533-position model. The record is from RNAcentral.
GACGAACGCUGGCGGCGUGCUUAAUACACGCAAGUCGAACGAUGAACCCGGAGCUUGCUCCGGUGGAUUAGUGGCGAACGGGUGAGUAACACGUGAGUAACCUGCCCUUGACUCUGGGAUAACUGCGGGAAACUGUAGCUAAUACCGGAUACGACCCUCGGCGGCAUCGCCAGGGGGUGGAAAGAAUUUCGGUCAAGGAUGGACUCGCGGCCUAUCGGCUAGUUGGUGAGGUAACGGCUCACCAAGGCGACGACGGGUAGCCGGCCUGAGAGGGUGAGCGGCCACACUGGGACUGAGACACGGCCCAGACUCCUACGGGAGGCAGCAGUGGGGAAUAUUGCACAAUGGGGGCAAGCCUGAUGCAGCAACGCCGCGUGAGGGAUGACGGCCUUCGGGUUGUAAACCUCUUUUAGUAGGGAAGAAGCGAAAGUGACGGUACCUGCAGAAAAAGCACCGGCUAACUACGUGCCAGCCGCCGCCGUAA